GGGAUGGGCUCCGUGGGUGGCUCUUCUCUGUUUUCAGAUUGAAGUUGUGUUCUAGCUGAAUGCUAAAAGAAAGGGAUGAAGAGUAAGUCGAUGAUGGGUUUGCUUCCUGGAUCAAUUGUUACCAACUAACUAACCUGGUAUUGAGGGAGUCCUUUGAUCAUUGGAGUCUGCGGAUAAAGUCUACACUAUGGGUCAAGCUUC
Molecule: long non-coding RNA, 201 nt
Filed under: Oryza brachyantha (malo sina)
Lineage: Eukaryota; Viridiplantae; Streptophyta; Magnoliopsida; Poales; Poaceae
Description: long non-coding RNA (OBRA_LNC003617)
Source: RNAcentral